Molecule: ribosomal RNA, 501 nt
Filed under: uncultured bacterium
Lineage: Bacteria
Description: bacterial SSU rRNA
Rfam family: Bacterial small subunit ribosomal RNA
Source: RNAcentral
AGAGUUUGAUCCUGGCUCAGAUUGAACGCUGGCGGAAUGCUUUACACAUGCAAGUCGAACGGCAGCACGGGGCAACCUGGUGGCGAGUGGCGAACGGGUGAGUAAUACAUCGGAACGUGCCCAAUCGUGGGGAUAACGUAGCGAAAGUUACGCUAAUACCGCAUACGAUCUACGGAUGAAAGCGGGGGAUCGCAAGACCUCGCGCGAAUGGAGCGGCCGAUGUCAGAUUAGGUAGUUGGUGGGGUAAAGGCUCACCAAGCCAACGAUCUGUAGCUGGUCUGAGAGGACGACCAGCCACACUGGAACUGAGACACGGUCCAGACUCCUACGGGAGGCAGCAGUGGGGAAUUUUGGACAAUGGGCGCAAGCCUGAUCCAGCCAUUCCGCGUGCAGGAUGAAGGCCUUCGGGUUGUAAACUGCUUUUGUACGGAACGAAAAGGUCCUGGUUAAUACCUGGGGCUCAUGACGGUACCGUAAGAAUAAGCACCGGCUAACUACGUG